CAUGGGCAUGCUAGCUAGCCAACGGACGCCUACUGAACGGCCAACAGUUUUUCGCGCUGUGGUGGACGCUACUACGCUGCUGGUGGAACAGACCUCCUGGCCAUGCUUUUCGCGGCGUUUCCACCACUACUAGGACAUAAACCAGUCGGCUUACGGCAUUGCUGACUGCCUUCCCGCCCCCUAUCUGCAGAAUUC
This 195-nucleotide small RNA is filed under the name Spisula solidissima (Atlantic surf clam). The record is from RNAcentral. Lineage: Eukaryota; Metazoa; Mollusca; Bivalvia; Venerida; Mactridae.